RNAcentral lists this ribosomal RNA (465 nucleotides) under Vreelandella stevensii. Its description in RNAcentral is "partial 16S ribosomal RNA". It matches the Rfam family "Bacterial small subunit ribosomal RNA", at positions 338 to 795 of the family's 1533-position model. The record is from RNAcentral. Lineage: Bacteria; Pseudomonadati; Pseudomonadota; Gammaproteobacteria; Oceanospirillales; Halomonadaceae.
CCUACGGGCGGCAGCAGUGGGGAAUAUUGGACAAUGGGCGAAAGCCUGAUCCAGCCAUGCCGCGUGUGUGAAGAAGGCCUUCGGGUUGUAAAGCACUUUCAGUGGGGAAGAAAGCCUUGGGGCUAAUACCCUCGAGGAAGGACAUCACCCACAGAAGAAGCACCGGCUAACUCCGUGCCAGCAGCCGCGGUAAUACGGAGGGUGCGAGCGUUAAUCGGAAUUACUGGGCGUAAAGCGCGCGCAGGCGGUCUGAUAAGCCGGUUGUGAAAGCCCCGGGCUCAACCUGGGAACGGCAUCCGGAACUGUCAGGCUAGAGUGCAGGAGAGGAAGGUAGAAUUCCCGGUGUAGCGGUGAAAUGCGUAGAGAUCGGGAGGAAUACCAGUGGCGAAGGCGGCCUUCUGGACUGACACUGACGCUGAGGUGCGAAAGCGUGGGUAGCAAACAGGAUUAGAUACCCCGGUAGUC